GACGAACGCUGGCGGCGUGCCUAAUACAUGCAAGUUGAGCGCUGAAGGUUGGUACUUGUACCAACUGGAUGAGCAGCGAACGGGUGAGUAACGCGUGGGGAAUCUGCCUUUGAGCGGGGGACAACAUUUGGAAACGAAUGCUAAUACCGCAUAAAAACUUUAAACACAAGUUUUAAGUUUGAAAGAUGCAAUUGCAUCACUCAAAGAUGAUCCCGCGUUGUAUUAGCUAGUUGGUGAGGUAAAGGCUCACCAAGGCGAUGAUUCAUAGCCGACCUGAGAGGGUGAUCGGCCACAUUGGGACUGAGACACGGCCCAAACUCCUACGGGAGGCAGCAGUAGGGAAUCUUCGGCAAUGGACGAAAGUCUGACCGAGCAACGCCGCGUGAGUGAAGAAGGUUUUCGGAUCGUAAAACUCUGUUGGUAGAGAAGAACGUUGGUGAGAGUGGUAAGCUCAUCAAGUGACGGUAACUACCCAGAAAGGGACGGCUAACUACGUG
Molecule: ribosomal RNA, 497 nt
Filed under: uncultured bacterium
Lineage: Bacteria
Description: partial 16S ribosomal RNA
Rfam family: Bacterial small subunit ribosomal RNA
Source: RNAcentral